GACGAACGCUGGCGGCGUGCUUAACACAUGCAAGUCGAACGGAAAGGCGCCAGCUUGCUGGCGUACUCGAGUGGCGAACGGGUGAGUAACACGUGGGUAAUCUGCCCUGCACUCUGGGAUAAGCCUUGGAAACUGGGGCUAAUACUGGAUAUGAUCUUUCUCCUUGUGGGGUUUGGUGGAGAGUGUUUCGGUGUUUGAUGCGCCCGCGGCCUAUCAGCUUGUUGGUGGAGUGUUGGCAUACCAAGGCGACGCCGGGUAGCCGGCCGGAGAGGGUGAUCGGGGACAUGGGGCCUGGGGUACGGCCCAGACGGCAACGGGCGGCAGUAGUGGAGAGUAUUGCACAAUGGGGGGAAGCCUGAUGCAGAGACGCCGGGUGAGGGAUGACGGCCUUCGGGUUGUAAACAUCUUUCAGCGGGGACGAAGAGUAAGUGACGGUACCUGCAGAAGAAGCACCGGCUAACUAUGUG
RNAcentral lists this ribosomal RNA (467 nucleotides) under uncultured bacterium. Its description in RNAcentral is "partial 16S ribosomal RNA". It matches the Rfam family "Bacterial small subunit ribosomal RNA", at positions 28 to 507 of the family's 1533-position model. The record is from RNAcentral.